Molecule: transfer RNA, 76 nt
Filed under: Bacillota bacterium
Lineage: Bacteria; Bacillati; Bacillota
Description: tRNA-Lys
Rfam family: tRNA
About the family: Transfer RNA (tRNA) molecules are approximately 80 nucleotides in length. Their secondary structure includes four short double-helical elements and three loops (D, anti-codon, and T loops).
Source: RNAcentral
GGGCCGCUAGCUCAGUUGGUAGAGCAAUCGCCUCUUAAGCGAUGGGUCCAGGGUUCGAGCCCCUGGCGGCCCACCA